This is a non-coding RNA of Pimephales promelas (fathead minnow), 451 nucleotides long. The record is from RefSeq and is a predicted model, not a curated record. NCBI's taxonomy places the organism in Eukaryota, Metazoa, Chordata, Actinopteri, Cypriniformes, Leuciscidae.
AGCGCACGCGAGCAGAUGGAAACCAUGGAAACGAGGAAACCUCUUCAACUGACAAACAGCAAAAAAUAGCGUCUCCCUGUUUUUCCACUGCUUUCAGUCUAGAAAAUCAUCAUGAUGUCCUGCUACAGCCCUGUCCCAAGACAACCUCCACGGCUAUGAACUCGACUAAUGAGAUAUCAUUUGACCCUGUGAUUCUUCAGGACCAGAUCUUGAUGCCAUCCACACCCAGUACAUGACAAAGAUGCUGUGACAAAAAGCAGUCAAGCCACUGCAUGUGAUGUGGAAGCCUCUAUGAAGACAUGGCUCCGUAAUCCCUGGGACAGAGAUGGGGACGGCAAGGAAGGGCCAGAACUGCAGAAAUACCUACUGUUUCCCCUGAGGGGAUUGAUUUUUAAUUUUCAAUCCCCUGUUUUCUGUGGUUAUUGCCGUUUAAACUGUAUUAUCAUUAAUU